Molecule: ribosomal RNA, 492 nt
Filed under: uncultured bacterium
Lineage: Bacteria
Description: partial 16S ribosomal RNA
Rfam family: Bacterial small subunit ribosomal RNA
Source: RNAcentral
AGUGAACGCUGGCGGUAGGCCUAACACAUGCAAGUCGAACGGCAGCACAGUAAGAGCUUGCUCUUACGGGUGGCGAGUGGCGGACGGGUGAGGAAUACAUCGGAAUCUACUUUUUGGUGGGGGAUAACGUAGGGAAACUUACGCUAAUACCGCAUACGACCUACGGGUGAAAGCAGGGGAUCUUCGGACCUUGCGCGAUUGAAUGAGCCGAUGUCGGAUUAGCUAGUUGGCGGGGUAAAGGCCCACCAAGGCGACGAUCCGUAGCUGGUCUGAGAGGAUGAUCAGCCACACUGGAACUGAGACACGGUCCAGACUCCUGCGGGAGGCAGCAGUGGGGAAUAUUGGACAAUGGGCGCAAGCCUGAUCCAGCCGUACCGCGUGGGUGAAGAAGGCCUUCGGGUUGUAAAGCCCUUUUGUUGGGAAAGAAAAGCAGCAGGUUAAUACCCCGCUGUUCUGACGGUACCCAAAGAAUAAGCACCGGCUAACUUCGUG